AUUGAACGCUGGCGGCAGGCCUAACACAUGCAAGUCGAACGAGUGGCGGACGGGUGAGUAAUGUCUGGGAAACUGCCUGAUGGAGGGGGAUUACUACUGGAAACGGUAGCUAAUACCGCAUACCCUCAGAUGUGCCCAGAUGGGAUUAGCUGGUUGGUGGGGUAACGGCUCACCAAGGCGACGAUCCGUAACUGGUCUGAGCGGAUGAUCAGACACACUGGAAGUGAGACAGGGUGCAGAAUCCUACGGGCGGGAGCAGUGGGGAAUAUUGGACAAGGGGCGAAAGCCUGAUCCAGCAAUGCCGCGUGUGUGAAGAAGGUCUUCGGAUUGUAAAGCACUUGAAGUUGUGAGGCGUUACCAACAGAAUAAGCACCGGCUAACUUCGUGCCAGCAGCCGCGGUAAUAC
This 406-nucleotide ribosomal RNA is filed under the name uncultured bacterium. Its description in RNAcentral is "partial 16S ribosomal RNA". It matches the Rfam family "Bacterial small subunit ribosomal RNA", at positions 30 to 526 of the family's 1533-position model. The record is from RNAcentral.